GCCGAGGUGGCGGAACAGGACAGACGCGCCGGACUCAAAAUCCGGUGGUAAAAAAUACCAUGAGGGUUCGAGUCCCUCCCUCGGUA
Molecule: transfer RNA, 86 nt
Filed under: Coxiella endosymbiont of Amblyomma sculptum
Lineage: Bacteria; Pseudomonadati; Pseudomonadota; Gammaproteobacteria; Legionellales; Coxiellaceae
Description: tRNA-Leu
Rfam family: tRNA
About the family: Transfer RNA (tRNA) molecules are approximately 80 nucleotides in length. Their secondary structure includes four short double-helical elements and three loops (D, anti-codon, and T loops).
Source: RNAcentral